GGGGAAUAUUGCACAAUGGGGGAAACCCUGAUGCAGCAACGCCGCGUGAAGGAAGAAGGCCUUCGGGUUGUAAACUUCUUUGAUAGGGGACGAUAAUGACGGUACCCUAAGAACAAGCCACGGCUAACUACGUGCCAGCAGCCGCGGUAAUACGUAGGUGGCAAGCGUUGUCCGGAAUUACUGGGUGUAAAGGGCGUGUAGACGGGAUUGCAAGUCAGAUGUGAAAGCCCCAGGCUUAACCUGGGAACUGCAUCUGAAACUGUGAUUCUUGAGUGUCGGAGAGGAAAGCGGAAUUCCUAGUGUAGCGGUGAAAUGCGUAGAUAUUAGGAGGAACACCAGUGGCGAAGGCGGCUUUCUGGACGAUAACUGACGUUGAGGCGCGAAAGCGUGGGGAGCAAAC
Molecule: ribosomal RNA, 400 nt
Filed under: uncultured bacterium
Lineage: Bacteria
Description: bacterial SSU rRNA
Rfam family: Bacterial small subunit ribosomal RNA
Source: RNAcentral